Non-coding RNA from Pseudonaja textilis, 2489 nucleotides. Lineage: Eukaryota; Metazoa; Chordata; Lepidosauria; Squamata; Elapidae. The record is from RefSeq and is a predicted model, not a curated record.
UUGGUUAUAUGGCUACCACCAAAGUAGAUAUGGGAAUAAAGGUUUUUUGUUAGGUGCCAUCCCUUUCUGGUUUCAGGUAAGAGGUUUAUUUGUAAAUAAUGACAUAUCUCCUAUACAAAUUCUAAGAGAAUGAAGUGCCCUUGUCCUUAAAGGCCUGGGAGCCCUGAUCAGUAGCUUUAGCUAGAAAUAUUAAACAAAUGAUAAGCCUUUAUUUCCUCUUUUAUACCUGUCUUAUAUCUGCUCUAUGGAAAUAAUUCCCUCUAACCCUCUCAAUUAGCUUCUUCACUUACAGUAUGUACUUGCCAAAUAGAUAAGCUGAAACAUAUUUUCCUACAAAUAAUUAUAUUUUUUCCUGUCAGUAACCUGCUUUAAAUAUGGCCAUUGGGCUCAGAACAACAGUUCUGCUCUUGUAAAAAUAAAAAGUUUUGGGGGACCUCAAUGGAAGGGAAACCAAUGCAGUUUCUUAGCAUGCUCUAAUGCUCAGGAAGGACAAUACUAAACAAACCAUAGUAGUUUUUUUUUCUCCUUGUAAAACUCCCUGGACUAUGUAAUUCAAUAACCGGCAAUAGAAGAAUAUGCUUAAGAAUAGAGGCAGUAUGAACUCUGAGAAACAUUUGCCCUUAAUUCAUUCUAAAAUUUUCAUCUUUUGCUUCGAGUGAAUGCACAAUGCCCCUACUGUAUUAUCAAACAUAAAUUCAAUGUUGUCUUCUUCCUGGUAUCAGUGAGUGUCAAAUUAUUGUUUCUUCAACAUACAAAAGUAUUUGUGGAAGGCUUUAUUUCUGAUCUUUAGAAAUUUUUGCCAGAGGCAAAAUGAAACAGAAAGCUGUUUGUUGGGAAAGUUCACUGACAAAAGGAGUUUAAUAUAUAUGUCACCCUUCAUUUUUUUCUUCUUCUUUUUUUCUUGUAAAAGUUCAGAAUGAUUUUUUAUACAGGUGUUUUGUGUGCAUAUAUGCGUGGAUGGGUGGUGUAUCCUCUUCUGAAACCAUGGUGUAUAGAUACUUUUUAAAAAUGUUUCCUAUAAAAUUUAAUAUGCUUAAGGAAUUAAAAGAAGUCUAGGUGAAGAAUUGAAUCUUAAUCUUAUUUUAAGAUUUAUUUUAAAACUGUACUUUUGAAACAAAUCAGCACUGUUUAUUUAAAAAAAGAUGAUUCUGAAAGAUGCUGAUGAUAAAGAAAGCAGAGUACUCUUAAAACAGUAGUAUUGGAAAGAAUUAAUGUGUGAUGCACUUAUUUACCAGACUAUUGUCACAUAUUCUAUAUCCAUUAAAGAAUAUCUAUACUUUCUGAAGUCUUAACUGUUAAGAGACUGUAGCUAUAGCUGUCCUGUUUAGUUGCCAUACCAAAAGUGAAUCGUCCAUCUACUAAUUAUCAAUAACAAUUCAUGAAAAGAUUUCAAGGUAAAACAUAGCCUAUAGAAUUUUGUACCUUAAGUAGAUGUACCUGGCCCCAUUCUUGACUAAGCUUUUAGGAAACUUUUAGGAAACGUUCUAUUCCAGUAAGCUGCACUCAAUUGUCUAUUUUGAUUGAUUUUGACGGAUCUCUUUUACUUCAAUGUCUACUCGCUUUGUGCUUACUGUGUUUUUAAUAUUAAAAAUAGAAAAGAGGAGCAUAAUUUGCUUUCAUAAAUAAGGCUGCGAUCAAACCUGCUCUAUAUGAAGAUUUAACUGAAAGAAGCAUCUGAAUAUGUCACAGAGAAAGAUCAUGACAUCAAUUUACUGAAAAACCAAAAUGUAAACAACAUCAGAAACCUGAAGCAGAAGGAUUUUUGAUGCUUGGAAAAUCAUGACCAUCAAGAAGAAUCAAUACACAAUCUUCUUUCUUGAAAUCUUUGUUGCUAAACCAAACUAUUAUUGUUAUUAUUAUUAUUUCCAAAAAUAUGAAGAAUGAUUCCAAGUUUUACCCUACAUGAAAUUCAGAAGAAAUAUUUUUAAAGAAUCAACUUGCAUAGUUUUCAAGUAUUAAUUUUCUCAUAUUAUUUUCUCUUAUAUACAAAUAAAGCACAAAUAUUCUAUUUUUUAAAAAAUCCAAAAACCUCAAAAGCAGCCACCCUAUUUAAUCAACUUAAUCACUGUAUGAGUGAAGGGUGGUACCGAGAAUGUGGUUAGACUUGGCAGACAUUGGAAUGAAUGCUAGGAAAGGACUAGUCAAAGGCCAUGUUUUCUUUUUUUUUUUCUUUUUACAAAGAACCUUAGUCAACUUUCAAGGGAAGUAUUGGUUUGUUGCUAUAACAACUUAAUCCCUUUAAAGCCAUUCAUCAUGCAGGGUGUAUUGAUCACCAUGAUGCAAGAGCUGGGUGGCUGAUUUGCUUGGUUCAGAUUAAGGUAUUCAUGCAAUGCUGUCUCAAUUCUUAAAAGAAAAUAGGAUUAACCAUGUACUUUGCACAAAGAGACCAUCUCAAUUUCAACCAGGAAGCAUUAUGGUUAAUAUAAAGGAAACAAAAAAGGAAAAAAGAAAGCACUUCAGCAUCACUUGUAAAUAUAUGGAGUUUAAAU